Molecule: ribosomal RNA, 572 nt
Filed under: uncultured bacterium
Lineage: Bacteria
Description: bacterial SSU rRNA
Rfam family: Bacterial small subunit ribosomal RNA
Source: RNAcentral
CGACGAUGCGUAGGGGUUCUGAGAGGAAGGCCCCCCACACUGGUACUGAGACACGGACCAGACUCCUACGGGAGGCAGCAGUGAGGAAUAUUGGUCAAUGGGCGCGAGCCUGAACCAGCCAAGUCGCGUGAGGGAGGACGGCCCUACGGGUUGUAAACCUCUUUUGCCGGGGAGCAACGGGCGUCACGUGUGGCGCCACUGAGAGUACCCGGAGAAAAAGCAUCGGCUAACUCCGUGCCAGCAGCCGCGGUAAUACGGAGGAUGCGAGCGUUAUCCGGAUUUAUUGGGUUUAAAGGGUGCGUAGGCGGAUCGUUAAGUCAGUGGUCAAAUUGAGGGGCUCAACCCCUUCCCGCCAUUGAAACUGGCGAUCUUGAGUGGAAGAGAAGUAUGCGGAAUGCGUGGUGUAGCGGUGAAAUGCAUAGAUAUCACGCAGAACCCCGAUUGCGAAGGCAGCAUGCCGGCUUCCGACUGACGCUGAAGCACGAAAGCGUGGGGAUCGAACAGGAUUAGAUACCCUGGUAGUCCACGCGGUAAACGAUGAGCGCUAGGUGUCCGGGGGGAAUGGCCCCUGG